Cinara cedri is the source of this 365-nucleotide non-coding RNA. NCBI's taxonomy places the organism in Eukaryota, Metazoa, Arthropoda, Insecta, Hemiptera, Aphididae. The record is from the annotation of a GenBank genome assembly.
AAGAAAAAAACGUUACACGUAAAAAUCGUAAUAAGUUUACUAGGAAAAAACGUGUCCGCGGACUAGAACAAAGAACACAUAGAAGUAACAGAAGGAAUAGACGGCGUUGUAAAACGAAUAGCCGCACACCGGUACGCUCGGAAUCUAAAAAGAGGUAGACGUAGUUCGCACGUGGGCGGGCCACUGUUUCGGGUAAGUGGGGAGUGGGAAAAGCGGAACGGCAAUGGUUCGGUGCGUGUAUCUGUAUCGCGACAAAUGACCGAUGCCAACGAAAAACGAUUCCGAGCGGUGUUCGAUCGAUGGCGCUGCGUUGUCCACGGUAUAAAAGGGGGGGGGGAAAUAAAUAAAACACAAACCGAGGGGCC